AUACUUACCUGGCAGGGGAGAUCUCAUGAUCAUAAGGGUGAUUUUUCCCAAGGUGAGGUUCAUCCAUUCCACUCCAGGUAUGCUAACUCGUGACUUCUCCAAAUGCAGGGAAGUCAGCGGCAUAAUUUGUGGUAGUAGAGAGAGUAUGCGUGCUCUAUCAC
Acomys russatus (golden spiny mouse) is the source of this 161-nucleotide small nuclear RNA. RefSeq annotates it as U1 spliceosomal RNA. The transcript has a single exon. The record is from RefSeq and is a predicted model, not a curated record. Lineage: Eukaryota; Metazoa; Chordata; Mammalia; Rodentia; Muridae.